AGUGAACGCUGGCGGUAGGCCUAACACAUGCAAGUCGAACGGCAGCACAGUAAGAGCUUGCUCUUACGGGUGGCGAGUGGCGGACGGGUGAGGAAUACAUCGGAAUCUACUUUUUCGUGGGGGAUAACGUAGGGAAACUUACGCUAAUACCGCAUACGACCUACGGGUGAAAGCAGGGGAUCUUCGGACCUUGCGCGAUUGAAUGAGCCGAUGUCGGAUUAGCUAGCUGGCGGGGUAAAGGCCCACCAAGGCGACGAUCCGUAGCUGGUCUGAGAGGAUGACCACCCACACGGGAACUGGGACGCGGUCCGAGCCCUUACGGGAGGAAACGGUGGGGAAUUUUGACAAAUGGGCGAAAGCCUGAUCCGACCAACCGGGGGGGGUGAAGAAGCCCUUGGGGUUUAAAAGCCUUUUUUUUGGGAAAAAAAAGCAGCAGGUUAAUUCCCCGCUUUUUGGACGGACCCAAAAAAAAAAGCACGGGUAAACUCGGU
RNAcentral lists this ribosomal RNA (491 nucleotides) under uncultured bacterium. RNAcentral describes it as "partial 16S ribosomal RNA". It matches the Rfam family "Bacterial small subunit ribosomal RNA", at positions 29 to 506 of the family's 1533-position model. The record is from RNAcentral.